This 242-nucleotide unclassified non-coding RNA is filed under the name Hevea brasiliensis (rubber tree). The record is from RNAcentral. Lineage: Eukaryota; Viridiplantae; Streptophyta; Magnoliopsida; Malpighiales; Euphorbiaceae.
UGAGAUGGAUUUCUGCGAUGCUGCCAAUUCUGAAGACGAGGUCCUUUGGCUUCUAGACAUGCUGGAGUGGAAGUAAGUUCAGUGACUUCCAGAUAUCCGUCGGGUGACCAGUCACCUGGUUGUAGUAUGUCCACUUUGGCUAAAACUUGUACAUAGUUAUGCUGCUACAGUGGACGAUCAUUCAAGUUGUGCACUAAGCUGAAUUCCAACUUAAAGUUAUUUUUUCUGAAGUACAGUUCUAG